UACGUAGGGUGCGAGCGUUAAUCGGAAUUACUGGGCGUAAAGCGUGCGCAGGCGGUUAUGUAAGACAGGUGUGAAAUCCCCGGGCUUAACCUGGGAACUGCGCUUGUGACUGCAUAACUCGAGUGUGGCAGAGGGGGGUGGAAUUCCACGUGUAGCAGUGAAAUGCGUAGAGAUGUGGAGGAACACCGAUGGCGAAGGCAGCCCCCUGGGUCAACACUGACGCUCAUGCACGAAAGCGUGGGGAGCAAACAGGAUUAGAAACCCCAGUAGU
This 271-nucleotide ribosomal RNA is filed under the name uncultured bacterium. Its description in RNAcentral is "partial 16S ribosomal RNA". It matches the Rfam family "Bacterial small subunit ribosomal RNA", at positions 524 to 794 of the family's 1533-position model. The record is from RNAcentral.